Petromyzon marinus (sea lamprey) is the source of this 329-nucleotide non-coding RNA. NCBI's taxonomy places the organism in Eukaryota, Metazoa, Chordata, Hyperoartia, Petromyzontiformes, Petromyzontidae. The record is from RefSeq and is a predicted model, not a curated record.
GGUGGUGGUGGCGGUGGUGGUGAUGGUGGUGGUGAUGGCGGUGGAGGUGAGCCGCAGUCGCUAAAGCAGCAGCUGUCACGCCCGGCAGCCAAGGUGCUGGCCCUCAUGAGGAGUCUCCAGCCCCUGCAGGGCCCCACGGCCACUAGGACCACGAUGGGAGAUCAACGGGGAGAAGACGCAGCUGAGGAAGUAAUACGGCAUCCAUCCCGGACCCCACCACCAUCAUCAUCACCACCUUCAUACAAACCCAUCGCGGUUAGCGCUACCUGCCGACCACGAGUGGUGGUGCCUGGAAGAGGCGGAGGAGGCGGAGUUACCGGAGGAGGAGG